CCCACCCUACCCACCAGUAUCUCCUACUUCUUCGUCCUUCCAGGCGCUGGGCUGCCCAGAGGAGAAGAAGACCCAAGUUGGUGAAAUAAAAAGACCCAUUACAUCUUCUGGAGAAGUUGGAAGGGGGUUGUAAUGGGUUGAAUGGUGCCCCCGCAAAAGGUAUGUCCCUUUUCUAACCCCCAGAACUUGUGAAUGUGACCCUAUUUGUAAUUAAGUGUCUUGAGAUGAGAUGAUCCUGGAUUAUCCGGUGGGCUCUAAAUUCAAUGGUAGGUGUUGUAUUUAUAAGAGACACACAGAGGAGAAGACAGACACACAGCACAGAUGAUGUGAGGAUGGAGGCAGAGACCGGAGUGAAGUGGCUGCAAUCUAGGUCUGCUGGUAGCCGCCAGAAGCUGGGAGAGAGGCACGGGAUGGAUUCUCCCGCCACCAUCUUGGUUUUGGACUUCUGACCUCCAAAACUGUGAGAGAAUAAAUUUCUGUUGUUUUAAGCUCCCACGUUUGUUACAACUGCUCCAGGAAACUAAUACAGGGAUGGACUUUGGCAGAACAACAGAUGGAAGUUGCUGGCCCACAGGGAGCCCUUGCUGGAUGGGACUUUCCACACACAGGGCUUCAUUCCCUCCUCCCCAUAGGUAGCGAGAGAAGGCAAGCACGGCUCUCUGAUGGGGCCGAUUCAGCCCUGGGGGCCCACAACGGAAGUGGCCUGGGCUGAAGCCUCCUGAGCCAGGGGUCUCCCCACAUCCCCUCCCUUAGUCAAGUGGAGCGACCUCCCUGGGUGUCCCUUUAAAUGGUAAAUCUGAGAGAGCAGCCCAGACAGUGGGGGAUCGUAGAACACUUGGGAGCAGGCAGAGUGGAGUUGGGGGCCUGGCCGUUUUGGGGUUGUCUGGGGCUGCUGACUGCUGGCACCCAGGGACCUUAGGGCCUUUGGGGGCCAAUGGAAUCUCACAGUUCCCCCGGGGGUGGUGGUGGGGACAGGGCGCCCUCAGCCUGUGGGAGCAGGCUGGCCCCUGAUAGCUCAGUGCUCAGACCACACAGAACAAGAUUCUGGGGCCCUUUUUAGACAGCUCUGCCCACCGUGCCAGUCUGUCUCCAAAUCCACUUCCACCACCUCUCACGUUUCCCUGCAGAACUUGGCAUCCUCAGCCCGACUACACCAUUCGGGGGCCCGGCUCCUGCUCAGCUCGGUGAUUCCCACCACAGCUCCAGGAAGCAGGUGCAGCAGCACGGACCGCACGACCGCAGGGCCUCAGGGUGACCGGACACCAGGCCUGGACUUACUCUCAUCCAGAGAGUUCCCUGGAGUGGCUGCAGACCCCAAAGGAAGGCCGCAGCUCUGUGCGUGGGAGUAAAUCCUGGCCAAGGGGCAGCUGGCGAGGACGCUUCCUUGCAGGGUUCCUGAGCUGAGCUUUCUUGUGGGAAAAGGCCCCUCCCAGCUGCUAUGAGUCAGCUGGGCCAGCAGGUGGGCUGGGGUGCCACGCCCACUGCAGGCUCUCCCCUCUGUACCCUCACCUCUAACAGGGCCAGCUCAGGGGCCACUAAUGAAUUCUGCAGGGCUCACAUGCCAGGCAGGAGAGGGAAGCUGCUCCGGGAACCACCCCCGGGCAGAGCGGACCCCAGGGACGCCUGUGGGAGAGGGAACAGAGGCGGCAGUUUCACACCCUGUCACAAUGCAGGUAGCAGUUUCCUUUCUGGGGACUGGAAUGUGACCUACUUCCCUGUAACAAGAUGCGACUUCAGCACUUGGAUGGAAGAUGCAGGUGAAGGCUGCGUUCCUCCCCAAACAGAGCGAGAAUGAGGAGAGUCUGUGCCCUGAUGCGUCCACACACUGCUCCCCCGGCCUCGAACAUCCCCACUCAGCUCGUCCAUCUAGAAAACCCCUCUCUGUGAAUCGUAAGCAGCUGGAGGGACCUCCCUGCCCCCAACUAGGGCAGCCUUCCACCACCUCUCCAUGCUGAGCUGCCCACACUGGGGGUAAAGUCGGAGGCUUUUGAGCUGGUUACAGAGCCAUUCAGGCUGUGAAAGAGGGCUGUCUGCCCUGUGUGUGAUUCCCUCCUCAGCCCCCAGCACAGUGGCUGGCACUCAGUGCCGUGUGUAACAUCUGUGGGAUGUGGACGCACGGAUUCAACUCUGAGCUCAGUGUCCUCAUCUGGCAACAGGGCUAGUGGACAAUAGCUCCUUUCAAUAGAUCAAUGAAUAGGCUUUAUUGAGUCCUUCAUAUUGACAAACUCAGGAAGAAUAUAUAUAGUGGGAGGCUAAAUAAUGGCUUCUGAAGACAUCCAGGGCCUAACCCCUAGGACCUGUGAAUAUUUAUAUAGAUAUACACGUGUGUGUGUGUGUGCACGUGCACGUGCGUGCGUGCCUCUCAGGGCAGUCAGUGCCUGGCACAUGGUAAUUGCCCAAUAAAUGGAAAUUGUCUUA
Non-coding RNA from Equus caballus (horse), 2418 nucleotides. Lineage: Eukaryota; Metazoa; Chordata; Mammalia; Perissodactyla; Equidae. The record is from RefSeq and is a predicted model, not a curated record.